UAAGGAAUAUUGGUCAAUGGACGCAAGUCUGAACCAGCCAUGCCGCGUGAAGGAUGAAGGUCCUCUGGAUUGUAAACUUCUUUUAUCUGGGACGAAAACGGGAUUUUUAUCUCAAUUGACGGUACCAGAGGAAUAAGCACCGGCUAACUCCGUGCCAGCAGCCGCGGUAAUACGGAGGGUGCGAGCGUUAUCCGGAUUUACUGGGUUUAAAGGGUGCGUAGGUGGGCUUAUAAGUCAGUGGUGAAAUCUCCGAGCUUAACUUGGAAACUGCCGUUGAGAAUAUAGGUCUUGAAUUAUCUGGAGGUAAGCGGAAUAUGUCAUGUAGCGGUGAAAUGCUUAGAUAUGACAUAGAACACCAAUUGCGAAGGCAGCUUACUACAUAUAAAUUGACGCUGAGGCACGAAAGCGUGGGGAUCAAACA
This 421-nucleotide ribosomal RNA is filed under the name uncultured bacterium. Its description in RNAcentral is "bacterial SSU rRNA". It matches the Rfam family "Bacterial small subunit ribosomal RNA", at positions 355 to 774 of the family's 1533-position model. The record is from RNAcentral.